RNAcentral lists this ribosomal RNA (200 nucleotides) under uncultured bacterium. RNAcentral describes it as "partial 16S ribosomal RNA". It matches the Rfam family "Bacterial small subunit ribosomal RNA", at positions 29 to 256 of the family's 1533-position model. The record is from RNAcentral.
AGCGAACGCUGGCGGCAUGCCUAACACAUGCAAGUCGAACGAGACCUUCGGGUCUAGUGGCGCACGGGUGCGUAACGCGUGGGAACCUGCCUUUAGGUUCGGAAUAACGCCUCGAAAGGGGUGCUAAUACCGAAUAAUGUCUUCGGACCAAAGAUUUAUCGCCUUUAGAUGGGCCCGCGUUGGAUUAGCUAGUUGGUGGG